Molecule: ribosomal RNA, 267 nt
Filed under: uncultured bacterium
Lineage: Bacteria
Description: partial 16S ribosomal RNA
Rfam family: Bacterial small subunit ribosomal RNA
Source: RNAcentral
GUCCACGCUGUAAACGAUGGAUGCUAGUUGUGGCGGGAGUUGACCCCUGCCGUGACGCAGCUAACGCAAUAAGCAUCCCGCCUGGGAAGUACGGCCGCAAGGCUAAAACUCAAAGGAAUUGACGGGGGCCCCGCACAAGCGGUGGAGCAUGUGGUUUAAUUCGACGCAACGCGCAGAACCUUACCUGGUCUUGACAUCCACGGAAUCCUUCAGAGAUGAGGGAGUGCCCUUCGGGGAGCCGUGAGACAGGUGCUGCAUGGCUGUCGU